GGCUCUUUGAAAUAAAUAUAUAAAGAGUCGAGCCUGCCCAGUGAUUAUUUUAAACGGCCGCGGUACUCUGACCGUGCAAAGGUAGCAUAAUCAUUUGCCCUAUAAUUGAGGGCUUGUAUGAAUGGUUUGACAAAAGCAUAACUGUCUCCUUAAAAUUUUAUAGAAUUUGGUUUUUAGGUGAAGAAACCUAAAUAUAAUUGAAAGACAAGAAGACCCUAUCGAGCUUUAGAGUAAUUGAUUAAAAAAUAUAAUUAAAAUAAUUAAUUUUAAUUAAAGACUUUGGUUGGGGCGACUGAGGAACACACAAAGCUUCCUUAACUAAAAAUAUGCUUAUUAGCAAUGAUCCAAAAAUUUUGAUUAAAAAAUUUAGUUACCGUAGGGAUAACAGCAUAAUCUUUUUUGAGAGUUCUUAUCGAAAAAAAGGUUUGUGACCUCGAUGUGGACUAGGAUAUCCCUAAAGAGCAGAAUUCUUUAAAGGUUAGUCUGUUCGACUAAUAAAAUCCU
RNAcentral lists this ribosomal RNA (504 nucleotides) under Gammatricula sp. SWA-2013. RNAcentral describes it as "partial 16S ribosomal RNA". It matches the Rfam family "Bacterial large subunit ribosomal RNA", at positions 1817 to 2597 of the family's 2925-position model. The record is from RNAcentral. Lineage: Eukaryota; Metazoa; Mollusca; Gastropoda; Littorinimorpha; Pomatiopsidae.